Molecule: ribosomal RNA, 461 nt
Filed under: uncultured archaeon
Lineage: Archaea
Description: bacterial SSU rRNA
Rfam family: Archaeal small subunit ribosomal RNA
Source: RNAcentral
CCACAAGGGGUGAAGCCUGCGGUACAAUUGGAGUCAACGCCAGGAAACUUACCAGGAGAGGCAGCAGGUUGAGGGUCAGUCUGAAGAACUUACCUGACGAGCUGAGAGGAGGUGCAUGGUUGUCGCCAGCUCGUGCCGUGAGGCGUCCUGUUAAGUCAGGCAACGAGCGAGACCCCUAUCGGUAAUUGCUAACUGCUCAGAGAUGAGUAGAGGCUAGUUACAGAGACUGCCGUUGAUAAAACGGAGGAAGGAAGGGGCCACGGCAGGUCAGUAUGCCCCGAAACUCCUGGGCCACACGCGGGCUGCAAUGGUAGGGACAAUAGGUUCCGACCUCGAAAGAGGAAGGCAAUCCCGAAACCCUACCCCAGUUGUGAUCGAGGAUUGAAACCCGUCCUCGUGAAUAUGGAAUCCCUAGUAACCGCGUGUCGUCACCGCGCGGUGAAUACGUCCCUGCUCCUUGC